GGAGUAUGGACCGUGUCUCAGUUCCAUUGUGGGGGACCUUCCUCUCAGAACCCCUACCCAUCGUCGGCUCGGUGGGCCGUUACCCCGCCGACUACCUAAUGGGACGCGAGCCAAUCCGUGGCCGCCGAAGCUUUCAAAACAGGACCAUGCGGUCCCACUUGUUACGGGGUCUUAGACGACGUUUCCAUCGAUUAUCCCCCUGCCACGGGCAUGUUGCUCACGCGUUACGCACCCUUCCGCCGGUCGCCGCCAGAAGUAUUGCUACCUCCGCGAUGCCCCUCGACUUGCAUGUGUUAAGCCUGCCGCUAGCGUUCAUC
Molecule: ribosomal RNA, 317 nt
Filed under: uncultured Bacteroidales bacterium
Lineage: Bacteria; Pseudomonadati; Bacteroidota; Bacteroidia; Bacteroidales
Description: partial 16S ribosomal RNA
Source: RNAcentral